UUCCUUCACAAAUAGACUCUAC
RNAcentral lists this non-coding RNA (22 nucleotides) under Rattus norvegicus (Norway rat). Lineage: Eukaryota; Metazoa; Chordata; Mammalia; Rodentia; Muridae. The record is from RNAcentral.